UAGAGUUUGAUCAUGGCUCAGAUUGAACGCUGGCGGCAGGCCUAACACAUGCAAGUCGAGCGGAAACGAGUUAUCUGAACCUUCGGGGGACGAUAACGGCGUCGAGCGGCGGACGGGUGAGUAAUGCCUGGGAAAUUGCCCUGAUGUGGGGGAUAACCAUUGGAAACGAUGGCUAAUACCGCAUAACGCCUUCGGGCCAAAGAGGGGGACCUUCGGGCCUCUCGCGUCAGGAUAUGCCUAGGUGGGAUUAGCUAGUUGGUGAGGUAAAGGCUCACCAAGGCGACGAUCCCUAGCUGGUCUGAGAGGAUGAUCAGCCACACUGGAACUGAGACACGGUCCAGACUCCUACGGGAGGCAGCAGUGGGGAAUAUUGCACAAUGGGCGCAAGCCUGAUGCAGCCAUGCCGCGUGUGUGAAGAAGGCCAUCGGGUUGUAAAGCACUUUCAGUCGUGAGGAAGGCAGUACAGUUAAUAGCUGUAUUGUUUGACGUUAGCGACAGAAGAAGCACCGGCUAACUCCGUGCCAGCAGCCGCGGUAAUACGGAGGGUGCGAGCGUUAAUCGGAAUUACUGGGCGUAAAGCGCAUGCAGGUGGUUUGUUAAGUCAGAUGUGAAAGCCCGGGGCUCAACCUCGGAAUAGCAUUUGAAACUGGCAGACUAGAGUACUGUAGAGGGGGGUAGAAUUUCA
RNAcentral lists this ribosomal RNA (685 nucleotides) under uncultured Vibrionaceae bacterium. RNAcentral's name for it is "bacterial SSU rRNA". It matches the Rfam family "Bacterial small subunit ribosomal RNA", at positions 1 to 671 of the family's 1533-position model. Lineage: Bacteria; Pseudomonadati; Pseudomonadota; Gammaproteobacteria; Vibrionales; Vibrionaceae. The record is from RNAcentral.